AUUUUUUCAGGCAAGGAUAAAAAGUGCUGGUAAUUAAAAAUGCUUAAAAUAGGGCAAGUCACUCUUAAGGGAUUGCAUUAAACCUAAUAUAAAAGAAUAAGCAUGAUCAAAUCAAAAACUUUCCCUUGGCCAUGUGAGCGAUAGGAAACAAGGAAAGAAGGGGACAACCUUAGUACAUGCAUCCUACACUGUAGUGUUUCAAUUUAGGAGUCUAGGGGGGCUGAUUAAGUGGUACUUAGGCUCAAAAGAAAAAGGGGCUUGAUUUACUAAGUUAUUUAUUGCUUGAGGACAAGCAAAAAGCUAGGUGUGGGGGUAUUUGAUCAAGCAUAAUUUAGCCACAUUUUUAUUAUAUUUAUUACUUUUUAUUUAC
This 370-nucleotide long non-coding RNA is filed under the name Manihot esculenta (cassava). Its description in RNAcentral is "long non-coding RNA (MESC_LNC004430)". The record is from RNAcentral. Lineage: Eukaryota; Viridiplantae; Streptophyta; Magnoliopsida; Malpighiales; Euphorbiaceae.